ACCUGGCUGGCUCAGUCAGUAGAGCAUGGGACUCUUGAUCUUAUGGUUUUGAGUUCCAACCUCACGUUAGGCA
This 73-nucleotide transfer RNA is filed under the name Vulpes vulpes (red fox). It matches the Rfam family "tRNA". Rfam says of the family: Transfer RNA (tRNA) molecules are approximately 80 nucleotides in length. Their secondary structure includes four short double-helical elements and three loops (D, anti-codon, and T loops). The record is from Rfam by way of RNAcentral. RNAcentral also lists the same sequence under 1 other name. Lineage: Eukaryota; Metazoa; Chordata; Mammalia; Carnivora; Canidae.